GAUGAACGCUAGCUACAGGCUUAACACAUGCAAGUCGAGGGGCAUCAGGAAGAAAGCUUGCUUUCUUUGCUGGCGACCGGCGCACGGGUGAGUAACACGUAUCCAACCUGCCCUUUACUCGGGGAUAGCCUUUCGAAAGAAAGAUUAAUACCCGAUGGCAUAAUGAUUCCGCAUGGUUUCAUUAUUAAAGGAUUCCGGUAAAGGAUGGGGAUGCGUUCCAUUAGGUUGUUGGUGAGGUAACGGCUCACCAAGCCUUCGAUGGAUAGGGGUUCUGAGAGGAAGGUCCCCCACAUUGGAACUGAGACACGGUCCAAACUCCUACGGGAGACAGCAGUGAGGAAUAUUGGUCAAUGGGCGCUAGCCUGAACCAGCCAAGUAGCGUGAAGGAUGAAGGCUCUAUGGGUCGUAAACUUCUUUUAUAUAAGAAUAAAGUGCAGUAUGUAUACUGUUUUGUAUGUAUUAUAUGAAUAAGGAUCGGCUAACUCCGUGCCAGCAGCCGCGGUAAUACGGAGGAUCCGAGCGUUAUCCGGAUUUAUUGGGUUUAAAGGGAGCGUAGGUGGACUGGUAAGUCAGUUGUGAAAGUUUGCGGCUCAACCGUAAAAUUGCAGUUGAUACUGUCAGUCUUGAGUACAGUAGAGGUGGGCGGAAUUCGUGGUGUAGCGGUGAAAUGCUUAGAUAUCACGAAGAACUCCGAUUGCGAAGGCAGCUCACUGGACUGCAACUGACACUGAUGCUCGAAAGUGUGGGUAUCAAACAGGAUUAGAUACCCUGGUAGUCCACACAGUAAACGAUGAAUACUCGCUGUUUGCGAUAUACAGUAAGCGGCCAAGCGAAAGCAUUAAGUAUUCCACCUGGGGAGUACGCCGGCAACGGUGAAACUCAAAGGAAUUGACGGGGGCCCGCACAAGCGGAGGAACAUGUGGUUUAAUUCGAUGAUACGCGAGGAACCUUACCCGGGCUUAAAUUGCAGUGGAAUGAUGUGGAAACAUGUCAGUGAGCAAUCACCGCUGUGAAGGUGCUGCAUGGUUGUCGUCAGCUCGUGCCGUGAGGUGUCGGCUUAAGUGCCAUAACGAGCGCAACCCUUAUCUUUAGUUACUAACAGGUUAUGCUGAGGACUCUAGAGAGACUGCCGUCGUAAGAUGUGAGGAAGGUGGGGAUGACGUCAAAUCAGCACGGCCCUUACGUCCGGGGCUACACGCGUGUUACAAUGGGGGGUACAGAAGGCAGCUAGCGGGUGACCGUAUGCUAAUCCCAAAAGCCUCUCUCAGUUCGGAUCGAAGUCUGCAACCCGACUUCGUGAAGCUGGAUUCGCUAGUAAUCGCGCAUCAGCCACGGCGCGGUGAAUACGUUCCCGGGCCUUGUACACACCGCCCGUCAAGCCAUGGGAGCCGGGGGUACCUGAAGUACGUAACCGCAAGGAUCGUCCUAGGGUAAAACUGGUGACUGGGGCU
Molecule: ribosomal RNA, 1451 nt
Filed under: uncultured organism
Description: SSU rRNA
Rfam family: Bacterial small subunit ribosomal RNA
Source: RNAcentral